AGAAUGACUCUCGGCAACGGAUAUCUAGGCUCUUGCAUCGAUGAAGAACGUAGCGAAAUGCGAUACUUGGUGUGAAUUGCAGAAUCCCGUGAACCAUCGAGUCUUUGAACGCAAGUUGCGCCUGAUGCCAUUAGGUUGAGGGCACGUCUGCCUGGGCGUCACAU
Molecule: ribosomal RNA, 164 nt
Filed under: Trifolium pratense (red clover)
Lineage: Eukaryota; Viridiplantae; Streptophyta; Magnoliopsida; Fabales; Fabaceae
Also listed under: 1 other name
Description: 5.8S ribosomal RNA
Rfam family: 5.8S ribosomal RNA
About the family: 5.8S ribosomal RNA (5.8S rRNA) is a component of the large subunit of the eukaryotic ribosome. It is transcribed by RNA polymerase I as part of the 45S precursor that also contains 18S and 28S rRNA.
Source: RNAcentral